CCUACGGGGGACUGCAGUGAGGAAUAUUGGUCAAUGGACGAGAGUCUGAACCAGCCAAGUAGCGUGAAGGAUGACUGCCCUAUGGGUUGUAAACUUCUUUUAUAAAGGAAUAAAACGAGGCACGUGUGCCUUUUUGCAUGUACUUCAUGAUUAAAGAUCGGCUAACUCCGCGCCAGCAGCCGCGGUAAUACGGAGGGUCCGAGCGUUAUCCGGAUGUAUUGGGUUUAACGGGAGCGUAGAUGGGUUGGUAAGUCAGUUGUGAAAGUUUGCGGCUCAACCGUAAAAUUGCAAUUGAUACUGGCAGGCUUGAGUACAGGAGAGGUAGGCGGAAUUCGUAGUGUAGCGGUGAAAUGCUUAGAUAUCACGAAGAACCCCAAUUGCGAAGGCAGCUUACUAAACUGUAACUGACAUUGAUGCUCGAAAGUGUGGGUAUCAAACAGGAUUAGAUACCCCGGUAGUC
RNAcentral lists this ribosomal RNA (460 nucleotides) under uncultured bacterium. Its description in RNAcentral is "partial 16S ribosomal RNA". It matches the Rfam family "Bacterial small subunit ribosomal RNA", at positions 338 to 795 of the family's 1533-position model. The record is from RNAcentral.